Molecule: long non-coding RNA, 1120 nt
Organism: Lingula anatina
Lineage: Eukaryota; Metazoa; Brachiopoda; Lingulata; Lingulida; Lingulidae
Source: RefSeq, a predicted model, not a curated record
UUGUUAUUAUGAAUAAUUAUAAAAUAAUGAUUUGAGCUAAGGUAAUUAUUUAAACCAAAUAUUGAUGGAUAAUGCCUAGACAAGAUUGAAAUCCAAGUCACAGAAAAUUUUAAUUUAUGAAUAGAUGAAUCACAUCCCAAAUAAAGCCAUUUUAGCUAUAGAAUCUAUGUUUAAGAACAUACUUUAUUUACUAUCUUUCAUAUGGAGAGUUCAAGAAAUUUCUAUGUUGAUUUUCCUUACAUAUUAGGGGUUCUUUUUCAUUUUAGUUUAUUUUCACUUUUACAUGUACCUAAGAAUUCACAUUUGUUACUUGACACAAUUAUAAGUUUUGGCACUGGAAAUCAAUUGGCUAGGUAGAUGUAUCAUGUUAUCACCAAAGAGAUGAGAAUUCUAUACCUCUUGUAUGAUAACUGGGGUGUAGCAGUUUAGGGAAAACACUUGUGAUCUGAAGUCAACCCAGGUCAGAAAUCCAAAUUUCAGGGGGUAGGAUAUGCCAGAUUUGAUUUUUAACAUAUAAGAUGUAAUACAGUAGCAUUUUAGCAUCAAUGAAAAAAAACUGACAAUUAUAAAUUUCAUGCAUAGAUCCAUUUACCUCCCCCUCCCCCCACAACAACAAUGCCAUUCUUAAAGGCUACUUUUUAAUAGAAAUCGCAUGCAUGUGAUCUUAUUUCUAUGAUCACAAGUGUAAAGGCUUCGUAUUGAUUAAGCUAUGCUGUCAUUCGUAUGUACUUCAGUUGGUCACGUGACGUUUGUUUACAAACACGAUCUCGUGUGAGGCCGUACAUUAUAGGUCUUGCGUUAUUCUUUUCAUAAAGGAGGUCAGACAGAUUUAAACAACUCUACAAGCUUCCAGUCUUCAAGAUAUAUUCCAAACGCUGUAAGUUACAGGCGGAACUUAAGCAUAGAACUGCGAAAAUGAUGAAUAAAGGACCAAUGGAACUUCUUCUUGCAGUAUUCGUUGUCACAAGUUUCGGUUAUGUUGUCACGGUUUACGCAGACAGUUGUAACAGUCCUUAUAAAGGAGAAUGCCGCGCUGAGGAUAACUUGGAAGAGUUCCAGCCUGGUUGUUGUCGCCCAUGCCCCUCAUGCAUGAAGGGAAGAGGAAAACCUGUGAAUGUGA